RNAcentral lists this small RNA (62 nucleotides) under Sinorhizobium meliloti 2011. RNAcentral describes it as "putative ncRNA". The record is from RNAcentral. Lineage: Bacteria; Pseudomonadati; Pseudomonadota; Alphaproteobacteria; Hyphomicrobiales; Rhizobiaceae.
AGUUAGUUGAAAAAGCGUCGAAGCGUAGCGGUAUACUCAGCUCGUUUGCCGACUUUCGGUAC